AUCCUGGCUCAGGAUGAACGCUGGCGGCGUGCCUAAUACAUGCAAGUCGAGCGAACGGACGAGAAGCUUGCUUCUCUGAUGUUAGCGGCGGACGGGUGAGUAACACGUGGAUAACCUACCUAUAAGACUGGGAUAACUUCGGGAAACCGGAGCUAAUACCGGAUAAUAUUUUGAACCGCAUGGUUCAAAAGUGAAAGACGGUCUUGCUGUCACUUAUAGAUGGAUCCGCGCUGCAUUAGCUAGUUGGUAAGGUAACGGCUUACCAAGGCAACGAUGCAUAGCCGACCUGAGAGGGUGAUCGGCCACACUGGAACUGAGACACGGUCCAGACUCCUACGGGAGGCAGCAGUAGGGAAUCUUCCGCAAUGGGCGAAAGCCUGACGGAGCAACGCCGCGUGAGUGAUGAAGGUCUUCGGAUCGUAAAACUCUGUUAUUAGGGAAGAACAUAUGUGUAAGUAACUGUGCACAUCUUGACGGUACCUAAUCAGAAAGCCACGGCUAACUACGUGCCAGCAGCCGCGGUAAUACGUAGGUGGCAAGCGUUAUCCGGAAUUAUUGGGCGUAAAGCGCGCGUAGGCGGUUUUUUAAGUCUGAUGUGAAAGCCCACGGCUCAACCGUGGAGGGUCAUUGGAAACUGGAAAACUUGAGUGCAGAAGAGGAAAGUGGAAUUCCAUGUGUAGCGGUGAAAUGCGCAGAGAUAUGGAGGAACACCAGUGGCGAAGGCGACUUUCUGGUCUGUAACUGACGCUGAUGUGCGAAAGCGUGGGGAUCAAACAGGAUUAGAUACCCUGGUAGUCCACGCCGUAAACGAUGAGUGCUAAGUGUUAGGGGGUUUCCGCCCCUUAGUGCUGCAGCUAACGCAUUAAGCACUCCGCCUGGGGAGUACGACCGCAAGGUUGAAACUCAAAGGAAUUGACGGGGACCCGCACAAGCGGUGGAGCAUGUGGUUUAAUUCGAAGCAACGCGAAGAACCUUACCAAAUCUUGACAUCCUUUGACAACUCUAGAGAUAGAGCCUUCCCCUUCGGGGGACAAAGUGACAGGUGGUGCAUGGUUGUCGUCAGCUCGUGUCGUGAGAUGUUGGGUUAAGUCCCGCAACGAGCGCAACCCUUAAGCUUAGUUGCCAUCAUUAAGUUGGGCACUCUAAGUUGACUGCCGGUGACAAACCGGAGGAAGGUGGGGAUGACGUCAAAUCAUCAUGCCCCUUAUGAUUUGGGCUACACACGUGC
RNAcentral lists this ribosomal RNA (1228 nucleotides) under Staphylococcus aureus. RNAcentral's name for it is "bacterial SSU rRNA". It matches the Rfam family "Bacterial small subunit ribosomal RNA", at positions 16 to 1225 of the family's 1533-position model. The record is from RNAcentral. Lineage: Bacteria; Bacillati; Bacillota; Bacilli; Caryophanales; Staphylococcaceae.